Molecule: ribosomal RNA, 253 nt
Filed under: uncultured bacterium
Lineage: Bacteria
Description: partial 16S ribosomal RNA
Rfam family: Bacterial small subunit ribosomal RNA
Source: RNAcentral
GACGUAGGGCGCGAGCGUUGUCCGGAUUUAUUGGGCGUAAAGAGCUCGUAGGCGGCUUGUUGCGUCGACUGUGAAAACCUGCGGCUCAACCCCGGGCCUGCAUUCGAUACGGGCAGACUAGAGUUCGGUAGGGGAGUCUGGAAUUCCUGGUGUAGCGGUGAAAUGCGCAGAUAUCAGGAGGAACACCGGUGGCGAAGGCGGGACUCUGGGCCGAUACUGACGCUGAGGAGCGAAAGCGUGGGGAGCAAACAGG